This 487-nucleotide ribosomal RNA is filed under the name uncultured bacterium. RNAcentral describes it as "partial 16S ribosomal RNA". It matches the Rfam family "Bacterial small subunit ribosomal RNA", at positions 30 to 523 of the family's 1533-position model. The record is from RNAcentral.
AUUGAACGCUGGCGGAAUGCCUAACACAUGCAAGUCGAGCGGGGUAGCAAUACCCAGCGGCGGACGGGUGAGGAAUACAUAGGACUUUGCCUUUGGGUGGGGGAUAGCUUGGGGAAACUCAAGGUAAUACCGCAUGAUCUCGCAAGAGCAAAGUGGGGGAUCGCAAGGCCCCACGCCUUUAGAGAAGCCUAUGUCUGAUUAGCUUGUUGGUGAGGUAACGGCUCACCAAGGCGACGAUCAGUAAAUGGUCUGAGAGGACGAUCAGUCACACCGGAACUGAGACGCGGUCCGGACUCCUACGGGAGGCAGCAGUGGGGAAUAUUGGACAAUGGGGGCAAGCCUGAUCCAGCAAUUCCGCGUGUGUGAAGAAGGCCUUCGGGUUGUAAAGCGCUUUAGGUUGGGAAGAAAAAGCUUCGGCGAAUAUCCGGAGUGUUGACGGUACCAACAGAAUAAGCACCGGCUAACUCUGUGCCAGCCGCCGCCGUAA